Molecule: non-coding RNA, 54 nt
Organism: Salmo salar (Atlantic salmon)
Lineage: Eukaryota; Metazoa; Chordata; Actinopteri; Salmoniformes; Salmonidae
Source: Rfam
GAAUGCAAUUACUGUAAGUCGCUCUGGAUAAGAGCAUCUACUAAAUGACUUAAA